RNAcentral lists this unclassified non-coding RNA (231 nucleotides) under plant metagenome. Its description in RNAcentral is "partial contains small subunit ribosomal RNA, internal transcribed spacer 1, and 5.8S ribosomal RNA". The record is from RNAcentral.
UCUCCGUUGGUGAACCAGCGGAGGGAUCAUUACCGAGUUCCAGCAACUCCCAACCCUUGCGAACCGUACCCCAGUCUGUUCUCGUUGCUUCCGGCAGGCGGGGGGGGCCACCUGGCCCCUCCCCCUGCCGGGGGCGGCGGGCCCUCUGAACCUUUGUAUCUCAACCACUGAAACCCGUCUGAGCAAAACAAAAAAUAAUCAAAACUUUCAACAACGGAUCUCUUGGCUCUG